This 76-nucleotide transfer RNA is filed under the name Acidobacteriota bacterium. RNAcentral describes it as "Acidobacteria bacterium (activated sludge metagenome) tRNA-Arg". It matches the Rfam family "tRNA". From Rfam's summary of the family: Transfer RNA (tRNA) molecules are approximately 80 nucleotides in length. The record is from RNAcentral. Lineage: Bacteria; Pseudomonadati; Acidobacteriota.
GGGACUGUAGUCUAAUCGGAAUCAAGGCACUCGUCUUCUAAACGAGAAUUUGCGAGUUCGAGUCUCGCCAGUCCCU